Megalobrama amblycephala (Wuchang bream) is the source of this 1214-nucleotide long non-coding RNA. RefSeq lists it as uncharacterized. The transcript has 4 exons. The record is from RefSeq and is a predicted model, not a curated record. Lineage: Eukaryota; Metazoa; Chordata; Actinopteri; Cypriniformes; Xenocyprididae.
UCUGAAAGUCAAUUCUUAUAACUCAGCCCUCCAAACAGAUGCAUUAAAUGAUCUUCGACAUAAACAGCGAAUAACUUGCAUGUGUAUGCGCUGAUCAGUUCUGUACUGUCUGCACGCGCAGUGUCGGAUUUCAGCCGCGCGAGUCGUGCGCGAGUAAUUAGAAUGCGCCUGAACGCAGCAUUUUAAACUUCAACCGUUACGGACGUCCGUUUGAGCUCAGCGCUCGAGAGGACGACGAUUAAAUUGAAUCAAAAAGAAGAAAUGUGGUUUACGGUGCUGUCCGGGCCUGCGCUAUUCUCCGCCAGGAGAAAACGCACAAGAAAACGAUGUUUCAGGAGCAGUCAAAUCACGUGAUCACUGUACACCCAGACUAUUAUAAACAUGAAUUCAAGAGAAACCACGAAGAACAAAGAGAGGAGGUGAUGAAGAUGCUGCUUCUGUGGAUAUAGCUGUGAGUAUUUGGUGUUUGCAGUUAUAGCACACUUUUUUUCUGAAUUAAUUGAAGGCCUUAUUUAUGCUAAACACUGUAUUUGGUUCUUGAAGAUGCAUUAUGAAAUGAAGAUGAAGAAAAGACCUUCAACUGCAAACCAAUGACACAAAAAUGUACAUUAUUUUUACUCACAGUACCAACUUUGGGAAACCUGUAAAUCUGCUAAUCUGAAGUGGCUUAUAUUUGUUUUCUAUUUUCCAUGUUUAAUGCAAUAAUUAAUAAUAAUAAAUUAAUAUUUCUGUUUGCACUCUCACUGCAGGGAUGGACUCUGGAGUGCAGCAUUACUUCAAUAAGAUGAAAAUAACACACCUGUAUGAUUCAAGAUGUCAAGCCCCUGAACGCAAAGAGAGUCUGCAUCAAAAUGGACGUGAACCUGACUGAAAACACAGAGAUGUCAAAAGUAUCUGUUGGCUGUCUACUUUUUGUUCAAUAUGGAGCAUCCAAAUGCCAGUUUCUUUCAUUCAGCACUAUUUAGCCCUUCUCAGUACUGAAUUUGCCGCCAUGGGUCAUUUGUUUUUAUUGUUUAAAUGCUUAUCUGAAUGUUAAAUUAUCAUUUAACGCUCAUGAAUUAAAAAAAAAAAAAAUUCUACUAGCUAGUCUUUUAGUUCAUUUUUUUAGAAACAUUUAUUUAUGUUAACUCUUCUAACUAUUGCUCUAUGAAUUGCAGUGUUUUAUAUUGCUUGUGUCAUUGUAAAUGCUAAUAAAAAUGUCUUAAAUGAUUACA